RNAcentral lists this ribosomal RNA (474 nucleotides) under uncultured prokaryote. RNAcentral's name for it is "bacterial SSU rRNA". It matches the Rfam family "Bacterial small subunit ribosomal RNA", at positions 343 to 810 of the family's 1533-position model. The record is from RNAcentral.
GGGCGGCCCGCAACAGUCCAUUGCUGGCGGCGAAAGCCUGACGCACCAACGCCGUCGUGAGUGAUGAAGGCUUUCGGGUCGUAAAGCUCUGUCGAGGGGAAAGAAGUGUAUUAGGGCUAAUAUCCCUGAUACUUGACGGUACCCCUAAAGGAAGCACCGGCUAACUCCGUGCCAGCAGCCGCGGUAAUACGGGGGGUGCAAGCGUUGUUCGGAAUUAUUGGGCGUAAAGCGCGUGUAGGCGGUUUGAUUAGUCUGAUGUGAAAGCCCUGGGCUCAACCCAGGAAGUGCAUUGGAAACUGUCAGACUUGAAUACGGGAGAGGGUAGUGGAAUUCCUAGUGUAGGAGUGAAAUCCGUAGAUAUUAGGAGGAACACCGGUGGCGAAGGCGGCUACCUGGACCGAUAUUGACGCUGAGACGCGAAAGCGUGGGUAGCAAACAGGAUUAGAUACCCUGGUAGUCCACGCCGUAAACGAU